GUUUGAUGGCGACCGGCGCACGGGUGAGUAACACGUAUCCAACCUGCCGAUGACUCGGGGAUAGCCUUUCGAAAGAAAGAUUAAUACCCGAUGGCAUAGUUCUUCCGCAUGGUAGAACUAUUAAAGGAUUUCGGUCAUCGAUGGGGAUGCGUUCCAUUAGGUUGUUGGCGGGGUAACGGCCCACCAAGCCUUCGAUGGAUAGGGGUUCUGAGAGGAAGGUCCCCCACAUUGGAACUGAGACACGGUCCAAACUCCUACGGGAGGCAGCAUG
This 271-nucleotide ribosomal RNA is filed under the name uncultured bacterium. RNAcentral's name for it is "partial 16S ribosomal RNA". It matches the Rfam family "Bacterial small subunit ribosomal RNA", at positions 83 to 353 of the family's 1533-position model. The record is from RNAcentral.